RNAcentral lists this ribosomal RNA (1289 nucleotides) under Cryptochiton stelleri (gumboot chiton). Its description in RNAcentral is "large ribosomal RNA subunit RNA". The stretch from base 847 to 1232 matches the Rfam family "Bacterial large subunit ribosomal RNA", at positions 2049 to 2651 of the family's 2925-position model. The record is from RNAcentral. Lineage: Eukaryota; Metazoa; Mollusca; Polyplacophora; Chitonida; Mopaliidae.
ACUACAAUAUAUUUAAUUAAAAAAUUUUAAUAAUAUAAAAGGUUUUUAAAAAUUAUUAUUGAUAAAAAAAAUUUAGUAUUUUAAGUACUGCAAAGGAAAAUAAUUAAGUUUAAAAAAGUAUAAAUUAACUCUAGUACCUUUUGCAUUAUGGUUUAACGAGAUUAAUUUAUAGUAUAAUAAAUUCUAGAAAAAAAAGGAGCUAUAUUUAAACCUUAUUAAUGUGGCAAAAUUAAAAAUGAUUUAUUUAUAGAAGUUAAAUGCUUAUCGACUUUUUUGAUAGCUAGUUAUAAGAGAAAGGUAUGUAAGUACUAGUUGAAGUUAUAUAAUAUUAUUUUCUAAAUUAUUAUAACUUUAACCCCCGUUUUAUUAGGCUAAGCUACUAAAACCAAAAGAAAAUAAUAUAAAAAAUAAUUUAAAUGUAAGCUUAGAAGUUGCUAGCAUAAUAAUAGUCUUUUAACAAUUAAAAUCAAAAAUUAUACUCCGUUUCUUUUUAUCUAUCUUUUCUUAUUUAAAAAUUAAACAUUAAAAUUGUUUAUGUUAAAAUGAGUAUUAAAAUUAAAUAAAGAUUUUAUAAAAACAAGAAUAAAAACUAAUAUACUUUACAAUUAAUAUAAAUAUAAAAAAGGAACUCGGCAAAUAUAUACCUCGCCUGUUUAUCAAAAACAUCGCUCUUUGUAACUUUAUAAAUAAAGAGUCGUGCCUCCCAGUGAAAUUUUUUUAACGGCCGCAGUACCCUGACUGUGCUAAGGUAGCAUAAUCACUUGUUUUUUAAUUGAAAGCUUGUAUGAAUGGGAAUGGCUUGACGCGGGUAAAUCUGUCUCUUUUAUAUUAUUUAGAAAUUAAUUUUUAAGUGAAGAAGCUUAAAUAUAACCAAAAGACGAAAAGACCCUAUCGAGCUUAAAAAUUAAAAUUAAAUUAAAUUUUUUAGAAAAAUAAAUUUUAAUUAAUUUUUUUUAUUGGGGCGAUAAAAGAACAAAUAAAGCUUCUUUUUAUUAAAUAAAUUUAUAAAUUUUUAGAUCCAUAAUUUAUGACUAAAAGAAAAAGCUACCGUAGGGAUAACAGCGUUAUUUUUUCAGAGAGUUCAUAUCGAAGAAAAAGUUUGCGACCUCGAUGUUGGAUUAAAGUAACUUUUAAGUGCAGAAGCUUAAAUAGUGGGUCUGUUCGACCUUUAAAUCUUUACAUGAUCUGAGUUCAGACCGGCGUAAGCCAGGUUGGUUUCUAUCUUUGAAUUUAAAAAAUUAUAUUUUAGUACGAAAGGACCAAAUAUAAUAAAUAAUUUAUUUUUUAAU